This is a long non-coding RNA of Scophthalmus maximus (turbot), 543 nucleotides long. RefSeq lists it as uncharacterized. The transcript has 3 exons. Lineage: Eukaryota; Metazoa; Chordata; Actinopteri; Pleuronectiformes; Scophthalmidae. The record is from RefSeq and is a predicted model, not a curated record.
CGCGCAGCUCUGACCACGACUGAGCGUGUGCUGGCGAGAGAUUCUCUUCUACGACUACUGCAAUUUUAAAAAAGCGGCGGCAGCCACAUUCUGGGCCCUGCACCGGAAGAUGCUCCCGGAUCUGUGAGGUCGACCUCGGGCCACUUUCAACCCUGGAGUCAGUCGUAAAAAAAAAACUUUUGGACUUGUGUUUUUUGCACUGCGGACGAGGCUUUUGUGAUGUCCAGACGCCGGACGCACAAGAAAUUCCAGAAGACAUGAAAGACAAAGGGAAUUGGUGCGGCAGUGAAGCAUCCCUCGGCGGGAUCGUCCAGCGGACCGGUCGGGUCACUACGCACCUGCAGACGCGGGAGUUUGUGUAUUCACAAGCGAUUGAAAGUCUCGUCGGCGACAAACAGAACUGCGGAGUCUUUCUUCCUGAUCCAGCUUCCAUGUGUCCCGACUGGUGUUGUUUCACCCUUCGGAGGAGCAAAGACAUCUCAUCGCAAUUUGUCCAAAUCACAGCGGAGCCCCGGUAUGACGAGCGGCCCGCCACAGCUAUGA